CCUACGGGAGGCAGCAGUCGAGAAUCUUUCACAAUGGGGGCAACCCUGAUGGAGCGACGCCGCGUGGAGGAUAAGGUUUUCGGAUUGUAAACUCCUGUCAUGCGAGAGCAAAGCCCGCGAGGGUCUGAUAGUAUCGCAAGAGGAAGAGACGGCUAACUCUGUGCCAGCAGCCGCGGUAAUACAGAGGUCUCAAGCGUUGUUCGGAAUCACUGGGCGUAAAGGGUGCGUAGGUGGCGUGGAAAGUCAGAUGUGAAAUCCGGGGGCUCAACCCCCGAAUUGCAUCCGAUACUACCGUGCUAGAGAACUGAAGGGGGAUCUGGAAUUCUCGGGUGUAGCAGUGAAAUGCGUAGAUAUCGAGAGGAACACUAGUGGCGAAGGCGAGAUCCUGGGCAGUAUCUGACACUGAGGCACGAAGGCCAGGGGAGCGAACGGGAUUAGAUACCCCGGUAGUCCUGGCAGUAAACGGUGCGCGUUUGGUGUGGGGUGGUUCGACCCUCCCUGUGCCGUAGUAACACGUUCGCGCCGCCUGGGAAGUACGUCGGGAAGUACGGUCGCAAGAUUAAACUCAAAUGAAUUGACGGAAUGAAUUGACGG
This 594-nucleotide ribosomal RNA is filed under the name uncultured bacterium. RNAcentral's name for it is "bacterial SSU rRNA". It matches the Rfam family "Bacterial small subunit ribosomal RNA", at positions 338 to 935 of the family's 1533-position model. The record is from RNAcentral.